This 253-nucleotide ribosomal RNA is filed under the name uncultured bacterium. Its description in RNAcentral is "partial 16S ribosomal RNA". It matches the Rfam family "Bacterial small subunit ribosomal RNA", at positions 524 to 776 of the family's 1533-position model. The record is from RNAcentral.
UACGGAGGGAGCUAGCGUUAUUCGGAAUUACUGGGCGUAAAGCGCACGUAGGCGGCUUUGUAAGUAAGAGGUGAAAGCCCAGAGCUCAACUCUGGAAUUGCCUUUUAGACUGCAUCGCUUGAAUAAUGGAGAGGUCAGUGGAAUUCCGAGUGUAGAGGUGAAAUUCGUAGAUAUUCGGAAGAACACCAGUGGCGAAGGCGGCUGACUGGACAUGUAUUGACGCUGAGGUGCGAAAGCGUGGGGAGCAAACAGG